Molecule: unclassified non-coding RNA, 295 nt
Filed under: uncultured fungus
Lineage: Eukaryota; Fungi
Description: sequence contains ITS1
Source: RNAcentral
GUAUUACAUUUGCUUUUUAAGCCAACAAGAUAUUCUUUAAAAAUUGUGGUACAAAAUAUCCUACAUGAACAAUUAAAGACAUCAUUCAACAUCUUGUCUUAUUCAGCAGGCAGAGAUGCACAAGGUAUAAAAUAGGAUUGGUAUCGGAGUGCACACCCAAACAGGCUUUUGUUUCCCUUCCUCUCGAGCCGUCAGGCCCCCACCCAAGCAAUAAAACUAUUGAAGGGAGGAUUGAGAAGUCAAGACUAGCACAUCCAUCACAUUAAUGAUCCUUCCGCAGGUUCACCUACGGAAA